This 253-nucleotide ribosomal RNA is filed under the name uncultured bacterium. RNAcentral's name for it is "partial 16S ribosomal RNA". It matches the Rfam family "Bacterial small subunit ribosomal RNA", at positions 524 to 776 of the family's 1533-position model. The record is from RNAcentral.
GACAGAGGGUGCAAACGUUGCUCGGAAUUACUGGGCGUAAAGCGCGUGUAGGCGGGAAGAUAAGUCGGGUGUGAAAUCCCUGGGCUCAACCUAGGAACUGCAUUCGAAACUGUCUUUCUGGAGUGAUGGAGAGGAAAGCGGAAUUCCCGGUGUAGAGGUGAAAUUCGUAGAUAUCGGGAGGAACACCAGUGGCGAAGGCGGCUUUCUGGCCAUCAACUGACGCUGAGACGCGAAAGCGUGGGGAGCAAACAGG